RNAcentral lists this ribosomal RNA (301 nucleotides) under uncultured bacterium. RNAcentral's name for it is "partial 16S ribosomal RNA". It matches the Rfam family "Bacterial small subunit ribosomal RNA", at positions 509 to 808 of the family's 1533-position model. The record is from RNAcentral.
CAGUAGCGCGGUAAUACGUAGGUGGCAAGCGUUGUCCGGAAUUAUUGGGCGUAAAGGGCUCGCAGGCGGUUUCUUAAGUCUGAUGUGAAAGCCCCCGGCUCAACCGAGGAGGGUCAUUGGAAACUGGGAAACUUGAGUGCAGAAGAGGAGAGUGGAAUUCCACGUGUAGCGGUGAAAUGCGUAGAGAUGUGGAGGAACACCAGUGGCGAAGGCGACUCUCUGGUCUGUAACUGACGCUGAGGAGCGAAAGCGUGGGGAGCGAACAGGAUUAGAUACCCCAGUAGUCCCUGUCUCUUAUACA